Molecule: unclassified non-coding RNA, 143 nt
Filed under: uncultured Agaricomycetes
Lineage: Eukaryota; Fungi; Basidiomycota; Agaricomycetes
Description: sequence contains ITS1
Source: RNAcentral
UUGAAUACAGGUUGUUGCUGGCCUUUGAGGGCAUGUGCAUGCAUCAUAUUGGGACUGCUAUGCUUUAUGUUUAGUUUGGCUUUCCCUUUUUAUUAUUAUAAUCACAUUAAAAUGUUGAAUGUAUAAAAGAAAUGAAAUAUAUA